UACGUAGGGUCCGAGCGUUGUCCGGAAUUAUUGGGCGUAAAGGGCUCGUAGGCGGUCUGUCGCGUCGGGAGUGAAAACUCAGGGCUCAACCCUGAGCGUGCUUCCGAUACGGGCAGACUAGAGGUAUGCAGGGGAGAACGGAAUUCCUGGUGUAGCGGUGGAAUGCGCAGAUAUCAGGAGGAACACCGGUGGCGAAGGCGGUUCUCUGGGCAUUACCUGACGCUGAGGAGCGAAAGCAUGGGGAGCGAAC
RNAcentral lists this ribosomal RNA (250 nucleotides) under uncultured bacterium. RNAcentral's name for it is "partial 16S ribosomal RNA". It matches the Rfam family "Bacterial small subunit ribosomal RNA", at positions 524 to 773 of the family's 1533-position model. The record is from RNAcentral.